GUUUCAGUGGGUCAUCAGGCAAGAGGAAGUGCUGGAGGGAGAGGCAUUCUUACUGCAUUUAAGGUGGAGGGUCAGCAUGAGGAAAGGCAUGCAGGUGAGCAACAGCUGGGUGAGUAAGGGGCCCACAAGUGGUCAGUUGGUCAUAGCCCUAGCCUAAAACUUGCAGAUCUGCGAAUCUUGCCCCAUAGCCACUGCUCCCAGUUUUAAGCUGGGAACACCAUAUCAACUUUAGUUUGUGGCAGCCAGUUCAGCAGGCAGGAAUCUCCCAUCUGGCUGCUAAGUGCUUUAAGGGCCAGGGCUGAAUUGGGUCAUUGCUAUGGCCUCCAACUCUGUGCCUGGCCCAUCAUAGGAACCGAAUGGAUGGGUUUGAUGGGGCAAUUCCAGACGCACCAAUGUCUGCUAGUUCCCUGCUCUUGUUCUCCCACCCUGUCAGUCCUCAGGUAAGGCUUCUUUGAUCAUUUGCUCUUAAAUGGACUUCCAGAGAGGGUGUAUCUGGAGGGUGGGCUUGGCUCCCUGGGGAUGGGUUGGGGGAGAAGAUGGAGCCAGUAAAUGAGAUAGAAUGGUUGUUCAUGCAUCAUCUUUAAACAAGCAGGGAGGGCUGCUGGAAAAAGUGACAUUUGACUGAGGCCCUGAAGGAUGGAUUAGAUUUGGAUCAUAGGAGGUGGCAGAGAGAAUCUCAGGUGGAAAGAAUAGCUUGUAUAAGGACAUGGAAGUGCAUGGAGGUGGGAGAGGUUCCACCUGUGUUGGAAUAGCAGGCAGUCCAGUUUGUUUUGCAUUCUGGGAAUGUGUAAGAGAAAGGGACAGGUAGGUGUGGUCAAUAUGCAAAAUGUCUGGAAGGUUUCCUUCAGUGGUGGGAAGAAGCACAUGACUGAGUUUCAGGAAAGUAGGCUCUGGUUCAUUCCCUUAAGCUAGAAGCCCAGGAGUCAUUCUCACUUCUUCCCUUUUCUUCAACCACCAUAUUCCAAUUCAAAAGCAAACCUUGUUGAUUCGGCCUCUGAUAUAUAUCUUAGGCCUAGUUGCUUUACUUCUGCUGUUAUCACCUUAGUUCAGCCAUUCAUGAUUUCUGCCUGGUCCUUUAAUGCCCUCUGAUAGUAUAGCCAGCACAUACUGAGGGGAAGGAGUAAAACAUAGUGGUCAAGCACAUGGGACUCUGGAGCUAUUGGCUUGAUUGGAAUUCUUAAACUGCAACUCUGCCACUCACUAGCUAAGUGUCCUUGAGCAAGUGACUUAACUUCUCUGUGCUCAGGUUCCUCAUCUGUAAAAUAGGGGGAAAUCAUAGCACCUACCUUAGAGAGGAGUUGUGAGGAUUAAAUGGGUUAAACAUGGUAAGUUCUUGGAAUAAUGCCUGGUGUACAGGAAAAGCUGUUUAAGUGUUAGUCAUCAUUACUACUGUAAUCUGUCUCUCCAUAUCCAGUUUUGUUCCUCUCUGCCAGAAAGAUGUAUGUAUUUUACGAACUUUAUAUUUUGCAAUAAUUUUGGAUUUAUAAUAGAGUCGCAAAGAUGGUAUAAAGUUUCCAUGUGCCCUUCAUCCAGCUUUCUUUUUUUUUUUCUUUUUUCAAUGACCAGUGGAAGAAAAUCCAUCCAGCUUUCUUAAAUGUUAACAUCUUAUAUAACUGUGAUAUAUUUAUCAAAACUAAGAAAUUAGCAUUAGCAUAAUACUAUUAAUGGAACUACAUAAUUUGUUUGAAUUUCCCCAGGUUUUUUCCUCACUAAUGUCUAUUUUCUGUUCUAAGAUCCAGUCCAGGAUACUAUGUUGCAUUUAGCAGUGGAUUAUCUUCUCAGGUCCCAAUGCCUGAGAACCCUUCCUUGGCCUGCCAGACUCUGAGGCCAUGUCAAGUCCUCAACAAGGAUUUUAGGGCUCCUGCCUGUUUCUCACCAUGCUCCAGGGCUUUGAGUAGGAGAAGCCUCUGGUCUUUCCUAAUUUUCCAGCCACCAAACUCGCCUCCUCCACCUUCACCUGAGUUGGUCCAUCUGCACCAACACUCUUCCCUUCUUUUUGGAGAGCUCCUAAUCCUUUAGGGCUCAUGUGGCACUCCCUCAUGGUGGCCCAUUCAGCCCUUCGGAAAGGGCAGUGGUGAGCCAUUGAAGGUUUCUGAACAGAGAAGUGCUUAUUGGGAGCUGUCAGAGCUGCGCUUUCAGAAGAUGAAUCUGGCAACAACGUGGGUAGGACGGACAGAUGACGAUUGGUUAAUAUUAAUGCCCUGCGCUCCUCAAGCACACAUUUCCAGGGAGAAGUGCUCCAGGAGGGUGCCAAGUGGCCUGGAGGUGACACCCAAAGAGUAGACAAUGCCCAUGCAGGAAACUGCCCGGACCUGAGGGUGUCACUGGAUUUGAGCCUUUUCGAGAAGUGGGACUUCUGAGCCUUCUGCAAACUCUUGCUCGUUUCCUUCUGUGACAGGGAAGUCACCGCUCACUGCGUCUGAAUUCUGGCACCCCGCCUUUAGAGGCUAGGACGCCCCAGUUCCCUAUCAGUCCACCUGGGGCAGAGUAGAACCAUCACCCUCUACCUAGCGCCACUGCUGCUCCCUGCCCCCUCACCCCCUUCAGAGCUGGGCCCUGGUGGGGGGGGGCUGGCAGUUGGUACCUGUCAAAAGGGAACUGGGAGUGGCAGGAAACAGGCUCUUUGGAAUCCUACCUGGUGCCUCCCUCAAAGCUCCUGCUUGCCACCUGGGUGCUGUGUGCACACAGGAAUCGGCUGGGGGUGGGGAUGCUGGCUGGCCUGGUUUGUAACACUUCUUCCUGCUCCCCAAAGCCAGUGCACAGGGUGUACCCCUGUACAUGUGUCCCCAUUUGUGGGCAAGGCUGUGCCCACAUGGGUGUCUGGAGAUGUGGGUUUAUUUGCAUAUUCACAGGCUCUCAGGGUUGCAAGGGACUUGGGAAGAGACCUUCCCCUCCUCCUCUCCCUCUGCCACUUCCAUGCCAAAUGUUCAUCUGGAUCCUGUUUGAUCACUCCAAGGGACUGGAAACUCACUUCUUUCCCAGAAAGCCCAUCUCUGCUGAGGGUUGGAAUACUGAUUCGGAAACUGUGCCAGGCAACUGCCCCCCACUUCCACCCCAUCUGUGGGAAAACAGGGCCAGGACGGGGUGUCAAGAAACAGCAUCCUGAGGAAGUUACAGCUGAUGUUUACCAAAUACCUGCUAUCAGCCAGGCACUGUACUAAGUGUCACACAUAUAGUCACUCUUGUAAUCUACAUAAAACUCCAUGAGGUCAUGUGUGUUGUUAUCCCAUUGUAUUGAAGAGGAAACUGAGGCACAGAGAAGUUAAGGCUCUUGCCUAGAGUCUCACAGCCAGGAAGGCUAGCUCUGCCUGAGUUUAAUCACCACAUUAUAUUGCAGGUACUGCCCAGAGAGAGGGAGACAGAGAAAGGAAGAGAGACAGAGACAGAGAGCGAGUGAACAGUAUGCGCACGCAGGAGAAAUGGGAACUUGGAAAGACCUAAGUGACUCGUUCAAGGUCACAUGGUAUAUAGGAGGUGGAGCUGCAAUCUGCUGUCGGGAUUGUAUGACUCAAGCAUCCAUGUCUCCUCGUCGGCUCCUGCUGAACUGCCCAUGUCUGCACAGCCCAGCUCCCUCCGGCUGGCCCGCACUGGCUCCAGCUCUGUCUGCUGGCCUUGGCGUCUAGGCUCCUAGACGCUGCCUCCUACCUCCUGCCCCAACAAGGGGGCAACUUCCUGCCGUUGCUGAUCUGGGUCUCCCUACCUCUUCUGUCAUCUGAACAACCAAACCCCUCAUUUAAAUCCCUGUGCUUGAAAGGCCUGGAGUGGUUUCUGUUUUCUCAGUGGACUCAGAGGAAUGAAUGAGUGGAUGCGCUACUCGUUCCCAUCUGAGAGGACAGCGUACGAGCAGCUGUCCGAGUGGGUCGCUCUGCCUGGGAUCUGGAAUCUUACGGAUGUGGCAGCCUUGCCCUGGGCAGGACGCCCCAUCCCACUGCUGGGGCACAUGCCUCUGGCACGUGGGUCUUCCCCUAGCCCAGGGGAUGUCACCCUUCUAUCCCGGCAUUGCUCACUCUCUGAGCUCGGCGCUGCUGCAUGAUGCAAUAGUAUAAGAUGUGGCCCACCUCACACCCAUUAGGAUGGCUCCUAGCAAAAAAUCCAAAAAAAUAACAAGUGUUGGUGAGGAUGUGGAGAAAUUGGAACGCUCGUGCACUGUUGGUGCGAAUGUAAAAUAGCGCAGCUGCGGUGGAAAACAGUGCCGGUGGUUCCUCAAAAAUUAAGCAUAGAAUUACCAUAUGAUCCGGCAAUUCC
Microcebus murinus (gray mouse lemur) is the source of this 4245-nucleotide non-coding RNA. NCBI's taxonomy places the organism in Eukaryota, Metazoa, Chordata, Mammalia, Primates, Cheirogaleidae. The record is from RefSeq and is a predicted model, not a curated record.